CUACGGGGGGCUGCAGUGGGGAAUAUUGCACAAUGGACGAAAGUCUGAUGCAGCAACGCCGCGUGGAGGAUGACACGUUUCGGUGCGUAAACUCCUUUUAUAUAGGAAGAUAAUGACGGUACUAUAUGAAUAAGCACCGGCUAACUCCGUGCCAGCAGCCGCGGUAAUACGGAGGGUGCAAGCGUUACUCGGAAUUACUGGGCGUAAAGAGCGUGUAGGCGGGUUUGUAAGUUGGAUGUGAAAUCCUAUGGCUCAACCAUAGAACUGCAUCCAAAACUGCUUACCUAGAAUAUGGGAGAGGUAGAUGGAAUUUCUGGUGUAGGGGUAAAAUCCGUAGAGAUCAGAAGGAAUACCGAUUGCGAAGGCGAUCUACUGGAACAUUAUUGACGCUGAGACGCGAAAGCAUGGGGAGCAAACAGGAUUAGAUACCCCUGUAGUC
This 439-nucleotide ribosomal RNA is filed under the name uncultured bacterium. RNAcentral describes it as "partial 16S ribosomal RNA". It matches the Rfam family "Bacterial small subunit ribosomal RNA", at positions 339 to 795 of the family's 1533-position model. The record is from RNAcentral.